Molecule: ribosomal RNA, 256 nt
Filed under: uncultured bacterium
Lineage: Bacteria
Description: partial 16S ribosomal RNA
Rfam family: Bacterial small subunit ribosomal RNA
Source: RNAcentral
UACGUAGGGUGCAAGCGUUAAUCGGAAUUACUGGGCGUAAGCGUGCGCAGGCGGUUUUGUAAGUUUGUCGUGAAAGCCCCGGGCUCAACCUGGGAAUUGCGAUGAAGACUGCAAGGCUUGAAUCUGGCAGAGGGGGGGUAGAAUUCCACGUGUAGCAGUGAAAUGCGUAGAUAUCGGGAGGAACACCAGUGGCGAAGGCGGAACUUCCUGGCCUGUUCUUGCGCUGAGGCGCGAAAAGCUAGGGGAGCAAACGGGG